CGUGAACGACAGGGGAGCGUCGGACGCCGGCCGGGUGCGGCCGCCAGGACGCUGAGAGUGCGGACCACCGCAGACCCUCGAACCUGAUCCGGUUGGUACCGGCGUAGGGAGUCGGGCUUUCUCUCCU
This 127-nucleotide non-coding RNA is filed under the name Cellulomonas flavigena. Its description in RNAcentral is "TPP sequence". It matches the Rfam family "TPP riboswitch aptamer (THI element)". From Rfam's summary of the family: Vitamin B(1) in its active form thiamin pyrophosphate (TPP) is an essential coenzyme that is synthesised by coupling of pyrimidine and thiazole moieties in bacteria. The previously detected thiamin-regulatory element, thi box was extended, resulting in a new, highly conserved RNA secondary structure, the THI element, which is widely distributed in eubacteria and also occurs in some archaea. Analysis of operon structures identified a large number of new candidate thiamin-regulated genes, mostly transporters, in various prokaryotic organisms. RNAcentral also lists the same sequence under 1 other name. Lineage: Bacteria; Bacillati; Actinomycetota; Actinomycetes; Micrococcales; Cellulomonadaceae. The record is from RNAcentral.